This 495-nucleotide ribosomal RNA is filed under the name uncultured bacterium. RNAcentral's name for it is "partial 16S ribosomal RNA". It matches the Rfam family "Bacterial small subunit ribosomal RNA", at positions 28 to 507 of the family's 1533-position model. The record is from RNAcentral.
GACGAACGCUGGCGGCGUGCCUAAUACGUGCAAGUAGAACGCUGAAGGAGGAGCUUGCUUCUCUGGAUGAGUUGCGAACGGGUGAGUAACGCGUAGGUAACCUGCCUGGUAGCGGGGGAUAACUAUUGGAAACGAUAGCUAAUACCGCAUAAUAGCAGUUGUUGCAUGACAACUGUUUGAAAGGUGCAAUUGCACCACUACCAGAUGGACCUGCGUUGUAUUAGCUAGUUGGUGGGGUAACGGCUCACCAAGGCGACGAUACAUAGCCGACCUGAGAGGGUGAUCGGCCACACUGGGACUGAGACACGGCCCAGACUCCUACGGGAGGCAGCAGUAGGGAAUCUUCGGCAAUGGACGGAAGUCUGACCGAGCAACGCCGCGUGAGUGAAGAAGGUUUUCGGAUCGUAAAGCUCUGUUGUAAGAGAAGAACGAGUGUGAGAGUGGAAAGUUCACACUGUGACGGUAUCUUACCAGAAAGGGACGGCUAACUACGUG